Molecule: long non-coding RNA, 4109 nt
Organism: Zonotrichia leucophrys gambelii
Lineage: Eukaryota; Metazoa; Chordata; Aves; Passeriformes; Passerellidae
Exons: 16
Source: RefSeq, a predicted model, not a curated record
GGGCAGCGGCCGCGCGUGAGGGGAGGCGUGGCCGGGCCGCUGGGGGGCGCGGUGCCCCCGUGAGGCGGGGCGGGCCCGCCGAGCCCCCCGUGAGGGCGGCCCGGUGCCCCCAGGAGGGCGGCCCCGCCGAGCCCGCACCCGGCUGCGGGGCAGCGCCGAGCCCACCCCCGGUUAUCCCCCCGGUAGUGGCUGGCGGAGGCCCGAGCCUCUGUGGAGGGCAGCUGUAGGCGGGGAGGAGCCGCUGUCCCGAAAGGAGCGCCUGGCACCAUGGCAAGGGUUUUGAAUUAAGCAUCAUACCUGAUAUUUUUCCCCAAAUGAAGAAUCAGUGUAUGUAGAAUCUUUCUGGGAUGCAGAAAUUUCUGCUGGAAUGGAGAAAGAAAACUGUAAGAACUUCUCACAAAGACAAAUGGGCUUAAGAGCAUUGAAGCUUUUACCCUGAAGAGCCAUACUGCAUGGUCUCUAGCUAAGCUCUCUGCCUAAUGUCUGCAAGUGCAUAUUAUGAUGUUCCUAAGAAGAGACUAAUAUAAUUUGAAGUUCACAAAGACAGCCAUCAACAAACCAGCAGAAUUAUAGAUGAAGAACUGUUCUGUGGUUUGUUAUGAGAGAGAUCUACUUUACUUCUGAAUAAGCUGUGUCUGGUUAGGAAGACUAAGGUGGAAAGAAAUGCCUUCAUCCCAUUCAAGAUGACACAUGCAGCUCAAAAAAUGGGAACUUUGGGCUGGUUGGAAAUCAAGGCCAUGCUAGACAAGGAGGUCGCCUGAAGAAAUCUUUACACACCUCCAAUGUUUCCUGAAGGGACAUUUUGGAUCAGAAGAAAACAGAGAUCUAAUCUAAUGGUAUUUAAAACGUGUCUUUGCAUUUCCUGCAUAACUGGAUCCUAGCUCAUUAAAGAUCUCCUGUGCUUUCCAGUGCCCCAGUAAAAUGUGGCUGCUCCAAAGAGCAGAGAUCCGGCAGAGGAGGCAGUGUCAGGAGUGUCUGAGAGAGAGGAAGUACACAGCAGCAGAUAGUCUGCUUUCAACACAGUGGUGCUGACAGCCUGCAUCCAUUCCAGAGAAUGCCUUCAAAUCAGUGACUUCAAAUGGAAUCCAAGAGAGAGUUAGUUCUGUUUGAGGGAGAUGGUUGUAACCUGUUAAGAGCCAGGUCAGGGAGCAAAAUCUGGAAUGCAUCCCUAUCUGCAAACAGAGGUGUCCGCAUGUGGCUUGCUGGGGCUGUAGCUGGCACAAGCACCUAAAGCUUCCACUAAGAUGGAUCCACCUCAAGCAAAGACCUUUUCCUCCUGGCUUAUGAAGCUGCAACACCAGUGAAAGCUGGGCAAGAAAAGAGCUGCAGCCCAUCCAAGUUUUUUAGCAGAGAAGGACCACAGAAUGUGGCUUGGAGAUGCUUUGAGUAGGCUUUCUUCAAGGUUUUAGAGUGGGCUGAAGUUACAAAGACACAACUAAUUAGCAAAGCAUACCUUCUCUCCUUUGGAACCUGGGUCUCCUUUCAGUCCAGGCAAGCCAGGUGGGCCCUUUAUAAAGCAAGGGAAGUCAUGUUAAACUUUCUCCAGGGUGACACUGAACAUCUGCAGCAGUGCAUGGACCUUUUGGCCAGCAGAGAUAGUUCAGACUACAUCAAAGAUAAUGCCAAAUGAAUUGAAUUAACCACAAGAGGACUUCGACCAUUUGUUGAGGACCAGGUGGGCCAGCUUCACCUGAAGGACCUGGUGGACCCUGCAACAGAAAAUUAAAAUCACAGCAGGAAUAAAGGAUGAAGUUCUCAUCUGUAUUAAAUGCCAUGGACAUCUGCCAUGUGUUAGCCCCAUCAAUGGACAGAAUCUACAGAAACAGAGCUUUGAUGCUUAAUAUGGGUAUUGCUCAGUUGUAUUUUUGUCCCAUACCUGAUGGCAAUACAUGAAACAAAGCUUGCCAGCCUCUGUGGUGACAUGCCUAAAUGAAAGGACUCUGAGGAAUGCUCCAGCUGACUGGCAAGUGUUACCAUGAGAAAGAGAUUUGGCAUGCAUGGAUUUUUCUACACUCUUCAAGAUGCUUCAAUGUGCUCCUUCAUUUUAUAGGCUCUGGAAUGAGGCCUACACAUUUUUAAACUAAUUUAAAAACCCAUUUUGAUAUUAAGCACUGUUGGAACGUACUCUGCAGUUGAUUAAUGAGGAGUUAUUUGGACACAUGGCCAGAUUCUUUUUAGCCAUUGCUUUGGAGGGCAAAUGGAGAAAGACUGAUCAGUAUAAUGAGAGAAUCCUCAGUUAAUAAAGGCAGCUGCGAUAACUGGGGAGGUUUUGAAGUUCAAGGGAGGACAGCACAUCAAAAACAAAAUUGUGCUGUCUUAACUAGAAUACGCCAACAUAGUUAGGCACAGGAUUUUCAAACCCACAAAAAGAAAUCUUUGUUAGUUUCAAUGGGGAAUUGAAGAUUUUUCCAGCUCUUCUUAAACAGGAAAAAUGAAUCACUUCUUUGAUCAGGAUCCUUGCUGUGAUCAGGCUCUAAAUGCCCACCAAGGCCUUUUGUGGGUGGUUUGAGAUUGUAAAUAUCUGUUCUCUAUGUCCUGUGAUUCCAGAACUGGUACUUCCUUGUCAGAACCUUUCAGAGGUGACCAACAAGCCCUUUCUCCCUGCCCCAACAGGCAUCUGUCAGCAUGUUGAAAGGAAAGCAGAUUUAAAAUGAAAACAUUCUGAAAUUUUCAGUGAAUGACUGCAGUUGAGGGCAAACUGAUUGCAGAUUCAAGACAUGUGACUUCAACCAGAGUUACAUUCACUUCAACUAAGCCUCAACACUGAAUACUGUACUUCAAGAAAAAAUGUGUAAUAUUCUCAAAUGCAUUAAACCUUGAGACUGGGAGUCCAGGAUACAUUCUCAAAUAAUAAUGCUGCAUUUUAUUUUUAAAGCAGUUCUGCUGGAGCAGGCCCUAAUGCAUCAGUACUCACUAUGGGAACUGAGGUCACAGUCUAAUGCUCAGCAUAACUAGCUAUGCUAAAAUUAUCUGAAACAGAAGAGUGCAGCUUGUGUUUUUUCUCUGGAUUUCUCUGAUGCAAAGCAUUUCUAAUGAAGAGGCAUGGCAAAGGGGAAAACAGGAUAUGCCUGUGACCACAUGCAAAGCCUGAAGUGGAACUGGAUCAGAGGCUGGAACUAGCUGAUCCUAAAGCCCAUUUCCAGCCCAAGCCAUUCUGUGAUUCUAUGACCUGUGAUUUGCUUGAGUAUGUACAUAUCCUCCCAUUAAUAUAAUCUGAUAUUAUGUAAGCCAUAAAUUUGGUGUAAUUUUUUAAAGUAACAUACUGUUCUGUAACUUGUCAAUCUCAAAAGUCACACUGUUUUCAAGAUAAAUUUACUUAGCCAUGAAUACCCCUGUGCUGAGUUUGGAGCUUUGCUAACUGUGAAUAGUGUUGAAAUAUAGCAAUAAAAGAGAUCUUUCUGCCAUUACUUCUCAAUUGUUUCUCAAGGAAAACUACUCAAGUAAAGUACCAGUUUAUAUUGAAUUUGAACAGAAUUGAAAACAUACCAUUUUGAGUUUUUAGAAAAGAAGCCAAAAUCAAAUGGAAAUAAAUAAAUGCUAGUUUUAUUCUUUCUAGCUUCAAAUUUCACAAUGAAAAAAGCUUAAUUUUAUAUGUCUGGCCUAAAUAAAAAAAAAAAGGAAGUGCUUGAACUUUAUAAAUAAAUUUUGAAGAUAGAAAAAUGUCAAAUCAAAACAGUAGAAACCUGAUUAUUCCUAGGUUCACUAAUAGGCCUAAUGAUAAUAUAUGAAAACUUGAAUAAGCCAUUUCAUCUGCCUUCAGUUAAUUGUGCUGCCCAGGAAGUAGAUAUCCUUUGGAAGUUUUUAAAACUACAUUAGUAGAUUCCUCUGCUGAGUCUCCACAGUUUCCAUCCUCAUGGCUAAGAAGCCAAAGCUGGGAAUGGUCACACAGUGCAGUCAGUGAAGUUCAACACAGGAAGGGAAUGUAUGGGAAUUUGUGGUCUCUCCAGUUCAAAUGCAGAAUGGAGGAGUUUCAGUGAUACAGGAAGGGUGCUUAAGAAAGUAAUUUAUAUUUUGUAAUGAUUCUGUAAACUCUAGGAAUAUGAGCAGUAAUAAAUACAUGCCUGGAUCUGUAAGUACAAACCUCUAGUAUUGCAUUAAAAGAACAUUGU